This 152-nucleotide ribosomal RNA is filed under the name Ulva linza. Its description in RNAcentral is "partial 18S ribosomal RNA". It matches the Rfam family "Eukaryotic small subunit ribosomal RNA", at positions 1682 to 1831 of the family's 1831-position model. The record is from RNAcentral. Lineage: Eukaryota; Viridiplantae; Chlorophyta; Ulvophyceae; Ulvales; Ulvaceae.
CUACCGAUUGACGUGCUGGUGAAGCGUUAGGACUGGAACUUCGGGCCGGUUUCCCUAGCCCAUCGUUUCGGGAAUUUCGUUGAACCCUCCCGUUUAGAGGAAGGAGAAGUCGUAACAAGGUCUCCGUAGGUGAACCUGCGGAGGGAUCAUUG